This 1554-nucleotide ribosomal RNA is filed under the name uncultured bacterium. RNAcentral's name for it is "bacterial SSU rRNA". It matches the Rfam family "Bacterial small subunit ribosomal RNA". The record is from RNAcentral.
CGGUGGACUCAAGACUGCAAUCCGCGUGUCGCCCUUAGAGUUUGAUCCUGGCUCAGGAUGAACGCUGGCGGCGUGCAUAAUACAUGCAAGUCGAACGAGGGACCUUUUGUAGCAAUACGAGAGGUUUCCUAGUGGCGAAUGGGUGAGUAACACGUGGGCGACCUGCCCCGAAGUGGGGGAUAACAGCUCGAAAGGGCUGCUAAUACCGCGUGUGGUUGCCGGGGUUAGAGGCCUGGCAACUAAAGCAGCAAUGCGCUUCGGGAGGGGCCUGCGGCCCAUCAGGUAGUUGGCAGGGUAACGGCCUACCAAGCCGAUGACGGGUAGGGGACCUGAGAGGGUGGUCCCCCACACUGGCACUGAAACACGGGCCAGACACCUACGGGUGGCAGCAGUAGGGAAUAUUGCACAAUGGGCGAAAGCCUGAUGCAGCAACGCCGCGUGCGCGAUGAGGGCCUUCGGGUCGUAAAGCGCUUUUCGGGGGGAUGAGGUAGGACAGUACCCCCGGAAUAAGUGACGGCUAACUACGUGCCAGCAGCCGCGGUAAAACGUAGGUCACGAGCGUUAUCCGGAUUUACAGGGCGUAAAGCGCGUGCAGGCGGUCAGGUAAGUCGGGCGUGAAAUCUCUCGGCUCAACCGGGAGGGGUCGUCCGAAACUACCAGACUAGAGGGCAGUAGAGGGAGGUGGAAUUCCCGGUGUAGUGGUGAAAUGCGUAGAGAUCGGGAGGAACACCUGUGGCGAAGGCGGCCUCCUGGGCUGCCCCUGACGCUCAGACGCGAAAGCUAGGGGAGCGAACGGGAUUAGAAACCCCGGUAGUCCUAGCUGUAAACGAUGCAGACUGGGUGUUGGAAGCUUUAAACCUGCCAGUGCCGUAGCUAACGCGAUAAGUCUGCCGCCUGGGGACUACGGCCGCAAGGUUAAAACUCAAAGGAAUUGACGGGGACCCGCACAAGCAGCGGAGCGUGUGGUUUAAUUCGAUGCUACGCGAAGAACCUUACCCAGGUUUGACAUGCAGGUGGUGGGGAAGCGAAAGCGGACCGACCCUUCGGGGAGCCUGCACAGGUGAUGCAUGGCUGUCGUCAGCUCGUGCCGUGAGGUGUUAGGUUAAGUCCUCUAACGAGCGCAACCCUUACCGCAUGUUACAUGUGUCAUGCGGAACUGCCGGUCUCAAGCCGGAGGAAGGCGAGGAUGACGUCAAGUCAGCAUGUCCUUUAUGCCUGGGGCUACACACACGCUACAAUGGCCGGUACAAUAGGAUGCUAAGCCGCGAGGCGGAGCCAAUCCAAUAAAGCCGGUCUCAGUUCGGAUCGCAGGCUGCAACUCGCCUACGUGAAGUCGGAGUUGCUAGUAACUGCAGGACAGCUAUACUGCAGUGAAUACGUUCCCGGGUCUUGUACACACCGCCCGUCACGCUAUGGGAGCUGGCAACGCCUGAAGCCGGUGACCUAACCGAAAGGGAGGAGCCGUCGAAGGCGGGGCUGGUGACUGGAGCGAAGUCGUAACAAGGUAACCAAGGGCGACACGCGAUUGCAGUGUAACACGAGUGAUCCUGAGUU